ACGUUAUAAGUAGACAUGAGGGGACAUUA
RNAcentral lists this ribosomal RNA (29 nucleotides) under Septoria stachydis. RNAcentral's name for it is "partial 18S ribosomal RNA". Lineage: Eukaryota; Fungi; Ascomycota; Dothideomycetes; Mycosphaerellales; Mycosphaerellaceae. The record is from RNAcentral.